AGAGUUUGAUCCUGGCUCAGGACGAACGCUGGCGGCGUGCCUAAUACAUGCAAGUCGAGCGGACAGAAGGGAGCUUGCUCCCGGAUGUUAGCGGCGGACGGGUGAGUAACACGUGGGUAACCUGCCUGUAAGACUGGGAUAACUCCGGGAAACCGGAGCUAAUACCGGAUAGUUCCUUGAACCGCAUGGUUCAAGGAUGAAAGACGGUUUCGGCUGUCACUUACAGAUGGACCCGCGGCGCAUUAGCUAGUUGGUGGGGUAAUGGCUCACCAAGGCGACGAUGCGUAGCCGACCUGAGAGGGUGAUCGGCCACACUGGGACUGAGACACGGCCCAGACUCCUACGGGAGGCAGCAGUAGGGAAUCUUCCGCAAUGGACGAAAGUCUGACGGAGCAACGCCGCGUGAGUGAUGAAGGUUUUCGGAUCGUAAAGCUCUGUUGUUAGGGAAGAACAAGUGCGAGAGUAACUGCUCGCACCUUGACGGUACCUAACCAGAAAGCCACGGCUAACUACGUGCCAGCAGCCGCGGUAAUACGUAGGUGGCAAGCGUUGUCCGGAAUUAUUGGGCGUAAAGGGCUCGCAGGCGGUUUCUUAAGUCUGAUGUGAAAGCCCCCGGCUCAACCGGGGAGGGUCAUUGGAAACUGGGAAACUUGAGUGCAGAAGAGGAGAGUGGAAUUCCACGUGUAGCGGUGAAAUGCGUAGAGAUGUGGAGGAACACCAGUGGCGAAGGCGACUCUCUGGUCUGUAACUGACGCUGAGGAGCGAAAGCGUGGGGAGCGAACAGGAUUAGAUACCCUGGUAGUCCACGCCGUAAACGAUGAGUGCUAAGUGUUAGGGGGUUUCCGCCCCUUAGUGCUGCAGCUAACGCAUUAAGCACUCCGCCUGGGGAGUACGGUCGCAAGACUGAAACUCAAAGGAAUUGACGGGGGCCCGCACAAGCGGUGGAGCAUGUGGUUUAAUUCGAAGCAACGCGAAGAACCUUACCAGGUCUUGACAUCCUCUGACAACCCUAGAGAUAGGGCUUUCCCUUCGGGGACAGAGUGACAGGUGGUGCAUGGUUGUCGUCAGCUCGUGUCGUGAGAUGUUGGGUUAGUCCCGCAACGAGCGCAACCCUUGAUCUUAGUUGCCAGCAUUCAGUUGGGCACUCUAAGGUGACUGCCGGUGACAAACCGGAGGAAGGUGGGGAUGACGUCAAAUCAUCAUGCCCCUUAUGACCUGGGCUACACACGUGCUACAAUGGACAGAACAAAGGGCUGCAAGACCGCAAGGUUUAGCCAAUCCCAUAAAUCUGUUCUCAGUUCGGAUCGCAGUCUGCAACUCGACUGCGUGAAGCUGGAAUCGCUAGUAAUCGCGGAUCAGCAUGCCGCGGUGAAUACGUUCCCGGGCCUUGUACACACCGCCCGUCACACCACGAGAGUUUGCAACACCCGAAGUCGGUGAGGUAACCUUUAUGGAGCCAGCCGCCGAAGGUGGGGCAGAUGAUUGGGGUGAAGUCGUAACAAGGUAGCCGUAUCGGAAGGUGCGGCUG
Molecule: ribosomal RNA, 1528 nt
Filed under: Bacillus safensis VK
Lineage: Bacteria; Bacillati; Bacillota; Bacilli; Caryophanales; Bacillaceae
Description: bacterial SSU rRNA
Rfam family: Bacterial small subunit ribosomal RNA
Source: RNAcentral